RNAcentral lists this ribosomal RNA (397 nucleotides) under uncultured bacterium. RNAcentral's name for it is "bacterial SSU rRNA". It matches the Rfam family "Bacterial small subunit ribosomal RNA", at positions 362 to 776 of the family's 1533-position model. The record is from RNAcentral.
UUUUGGGCAAUGGGCGAAAGCCUGACCCAGCAACGCCGCGUGAAGGAUGAAGUAUUUCGGUAUGUAAACUUCGAAAGAAUAGGAAGAAUAAAUGACGGUACUAUUUAUAAGCUCCGGCUAACUACGUGCCAGCAGCCGCGGUAAUACGUAGGGAGCAAGCGUUGUUCGGAUUUACUGGGCGUAAAGGGCGCGUAGGCGGCGCGGUAAGUCAGCUGUGAAAUCUCCGAGCUUAACUCGGAACGGCCAGCUGAUACUGCAGUGCUAGAGUGCAGAAAGGGCAAUCGGAAUUCUUGGUGUAGCGGUGAAAUGCGUAGAUAUCAAGAGGAACACCUGAGGCGAAGGCGGGUUGCUAGGCUGACACUGACGCUGAGGCGCGAAAGCCAGGGGAGCAAACGGG